ACGACAGGUUUCCGUAGGUGAACCUGCGGAAGGAUCAUUA
Molecule: ribosomal RNA, 40 nt
Filed under: Cortinarius sp. KGP43
Lineage: Eukaryota; Fungi; Basidiomycota; Agaricomycetes; Agaricales; Cortinariaceae
Description: partial 18S ribosomal RNA
Source: RNAcentral